RNAcentral lists this ribosomal RNA (874 nucleotides) under uncultured fungus. Its description in RNAcentral is "SSU rRNA". It matches the Rfam family "Eukaryotic small subunit ribosomal RNA", at positions 564 to 1483 of the family's 1831-position model. Lineage: Eukaryota; Fungi. The record is from RNAcentral.
GUGCCAGCAGCCGCGGUAAUUCCAGCUCCAAUAGCGUAUAUUAAAGUUGUUGUGGUUAAAAAGCUCGUAGUUGAACCUUGGGCCUGGCUGGCCGGUCCGCCUCACCGCGUGCACUGGUCCGGCCGGGCCUUUCCCUCUGUGGAACCCCAUACCCUUCACUGGGCGUGGCGGGGAAACAGGACAUUUACUUUGAAAAAAUUAGAGUGCUCCAGGCAGGCCUAUGCUCGAAUACAUUAGCAUGGAAUAAUAAAAUAGGACGCGCGGUUCUAUUUUGUUGGUUUAUAGGACCGCCGUAAUGAUUAAUAGGGACAGUCGGGGGCAUCAGUAUUCAACUGUCAGAGGUGAAAUUCUUGGAUCAGUUGAAGACUAACUACUGCGAAAGCAUUUGCAAGGAUGUUUUCAUUAAUCAGGAACGAAAGUUUGGGGAUCGAAGACGAUCAGAUACCGUCGUAGUCUUAACCAUAAACUAUGCCGACUAGGGAUCGGACGGUGUUAUUCAUGACCCGUUCGGCACCUUACGAGAAAUCAAAGUGCUUGGGCUCCAGGGGGAGUAUGGUCGCAAGGCUGAAACUUAAAGAAAUUGACGGAAGGGCACCACCAGGGGUGGAGCCUGCGGCUUAAUUUGACUCAACACGGGGAAACUCACCAGGUCCAGACACAAUAAGGAUUGACAGAUUGAGAGCUCUUUUCUUGAUUUUGUGGGUGGUGUGCAUGGCCGUUCUUAGUGGUGGGGUGACUUGUCUGCUUAAUGCGAUAACGAACGAAGACCUUAACCUGCUAAAUAGCCCGCAUUGCUCCGCAGUGCGCUGCUCUAGAGGACUUCGCUCAGCGAAGAGUUGAGCAUAAACAGUCUGUGAUGCCUUAAGAUGUUUCU